Molecule: ribosomal RNA, 460 nt
Filed under: uncultured bacterium
Lineage: Bacteria
Description: partial 16S ribosomal RNA
Rfam family: Bacterial small subunit ribosomal RNA
Source: RNAcentral
CCUACGGGAGACUGCAGUGAGGAAUAUUGGUCAAUGGACGCAAGUCUGAACCAGCCAUGCCGCGUGCAGGAAGACGGCUCUAUGAGUUGUAAACUGCUUUUGUACGAGGGUAAACGCAGAUACGCGUAUCUGUCUGAAAGUAUCGUACGAAUAAGGAUCGGCUAACUCCGUGCCAGCAGCCGCGGUAAUACGGAGGAUUCAAGCGUUAUCCGGAUUUAUUGGGUUUAAAGGGUGCGUAGGCGGUCGGAUAAGUUAGAGGUGAAAUCCCGAGGCUCAACUUCGGAAUUGCCUCUGAUACUGUUCGGCUAGAGAGUAGUUGCGGUAGGCGGAAUGUAUGGUGUAGCGGUGAAAUGCUUAGAGAUCAUACAGAACACCGAUUGCGAAGGCAGCUUACCGGCGCGCAACUGACGCUCAUGCACGAAAGCGUGGGUAUCGAACAGGAUUAGAUACCCUAGUAGUC